CUACCUGAAUCCUCUCCUGAGAAAAGAGCCUGGCAACAAGAUGAAGCAAGCCAAGUCUGUGGGUGACCUCGCCCCACCUGAAUGGGACUGGAGGAGUAAGGGGGCUGUCACAAAAGUCAAAGACCAGGGCAUGUGUGGCUCCUGCUGGGCCUUCUCAGUCACAGGCAAUGUGGAGGGCCAGUGGUUUCUGAACCAGGGGACCCUGCUCUCCCUCUCUGAACAGGGUGAGCAUCUCGCUCUACUCCUCUGUCCCCAGCCUAGCCCCUCAGGAGGGCUUCUUGGGACCAGCCUUCUGUCUCCUAGAGCUCUUGGACUGUGACAAGAUGGACAAGGCCUGCAUGGGCGGCUUGCCCUCCAAUGCCUACUCGGCCAUAAAGAAUUUGGAGGAUGACUACAGCUACCAGGGUCACAUGCAGUCCUGCAACUUCUCAGCAGAGAAGGCCAAGGUCUACAUCAAUGACUCCGUGGUGCUGAGCCAGAACGAGCAGAGUGAGUGAGGGGCAGGGUGAGGUGAGGUCAGGUGGGGCCGGGGCCUGGGUGCCUACUGAUGCCACCCCUUCCCAUCUCAGAGCUGGCAG
This 578-nucleotide small RNA is filed under the name Pan troglodytes (chimpanzee). RNAcentral's name for it is "retained intron". The record is from RNAcentral. Lineage: Eukaryota; Metazoa; Chordata; Mammalia; Primates; Hominidae.